UGGCAAACACCCCGAAAUCCCGAUUUUCUAAACAUAUCCCCCAUUUUAUGACAACAAACCCCCAUUUCCAACCGGAAUGAAAUCCCGCGUCAUUUCUGAACUGGCCAAUCAGAAAUCGGAACAAUAGUCAGCCAUGGUUGUUUACCUGUGUCGCAUGGUUUGGGGUGGUGUAAUUUACCUGGUCUGCCUGUGUCGGGGUGCUUAUCGGACAGUGCGAAGCAUGUUUUGAUAGUAAUUAAUCGGGAAGACGGAUUUCAAAUUGACAUAUCCUUUUCACAAACGUGAAUCACAACGAUGAUAGUGUCAUCACCAAACAAUCGGACAUUACCGAUUUUUGCCUCUCGCGGACAGCAUCCAAUAUGCAAUAAGAUGUCAUGGGUGCAAAGGUUUUGUUCGCAAACUUCAUAGCAGGGCAGAUCACUCCUUUUCUGGUUGCAAUGCAGAUUGUUCCACCAUACUCUGCAAACCCAUGUUUACAGACAAGCAAGAUCGCCUUGUAGUCAUACCUAAAUGCAUGUGCUUUAAUUCAAAUUUUAAUAUAUAGACCAGCCAAUGUUUAUAUGGUGUAAAAGGAUGCAACUUUAAGUAUUAUAUGAUAAUAUGUAUGUGACUUGUUGUUGGAGAGGAUUUUUUGCUGAAUAGAUGAUUUUAAUAAAAUAUUUAUGUAUAUCUUUCAAAGUGUUUUUUUCUUUAAAAUAAUUUUGUUAAAGUUGUUUUUUUUUCAGAUCGAGUUUACAGAUUUUCAUUUUGUUAGUUUUUAAAUCAAUCAUUAAAAUUCACAGACAUAGAUAACAAUGAC
Molecule: long non-coding RNA, 799 nt
Organism: Ostrea edulis (European flat oyster)
Lineage: Eukaryota; Metazoa; Mollusca; Bivalvia; Ostreida; Ostreidae
Exons: 2
Source: RefSeq, a predicted model, not a curated record